UCCGGUUGAUCCUGCCGGACCCUACUGCUAUCGGGAUGGGACUAAGACAUGCUAGUCGUGCGCUUCUAAGCCAUGGUGGAGGCGCGGCGCACAGCUCAGUAACACGUGGUUAACCUGCCCUUGGGACGGAAACACCCCCGGGAAACUGGGGCUAAUUUCCGAUAGGUGAAGACUCCUGGAAUGGAUCUUCGCCUAAAGGGCGCUUAGGCCAUGCUUCUAGGCGCUGCCCAAGGAUGGGACCGCGGCCGAUCAGGUUGUUGGUGAGGUAAUGGCUCACCAAGCCUUUAACCGGUUCGGGCCGUGGGAGCGGGAGCCCGGAGAUGGGUACUGAGACAAGGGCCCAGGUCCUACGGGGCGCAGCAGUCGCGAAAACUCCGCAAUACGCGAAGGCGUGACGGGGCUAUCCCGAGUGCCGUCCGCUGAGGAUGGCUUUUCCCCAGUGUAGAUAGCUGGGGGAAUAAGGAGAGGGCAAGUCUGGUGUCAGCCGCCGCGGUAAUACCAGCUCUCCGAGUGGUGGGGACGUUUAUUGGGCCUGAAGCAUCCG
This 544-nucleotide ribosomal RNA is filed under the name uncultured archaeon. RNAcentral describes it as "bacterial SSU rRNA". It matches the Rfam family "Archaeal small subunit ribosomal RNA", at positions 1 to 521 of the family's 1478-position model. The record is from RNAcentral.